Asparagus officinalis (garden asparagus) is the source of this 162-nucleotide long non-coding RNA. RefSeq lists it as uncharacterized. NCBI's taxonomy places the organism in Eukaryota, Viridiplantae, Streptophyta, Magnoliopsida, Asparagales, Asparagaceae. The record is from RefSeq and is a predicted model, not a curated record. The transcript has 3 exons.
GGAGGCUAUCUUUUCCUCGGGAUCAAGAAGGUCCAUCAUCCGGAUCAUCAUCAAGACCAUCUCCGAGUCCAUUAUCUCUACAUGGAUCCUCACCCAUUGAAGAUAUUGCGGGGACUUCUCAAAUGGAUCCAUCGCAGGAUCGAGAUGCAUCGCCAGACCUAG